AGCCUACUAUGCUCUGAACGCGC
RNAcentral lists this non-coding RNA (23 nucleotides) under Cricetulus griseus (Chinese hamster). The record is from RNAcentral. Lineage: Eukaryota; Metazoa; Chordata; Mammalia; Rodentia; Cricetidae.